This 453-nucleotide long non-coding RNA is filed under the name Lotus japonicus. Its description in RNAcentral is "long non-coding RNA (LJAP_LNC002163)". The record is from RNAcentral. Lineage: Eukaryota; Viridiplantae; Streptophyta; Magnoliopsida; Fabales; Fabaceae.
UCCAUUCUGAGGACAUUGUUGGAAACCAGUGAGAAGCCUUAUCAGUCUCCCAUGCCAACCUCCUCAAAGGCUUAGGCAUUACCUCCCCUCUAAACUUGUGAAACUUCUCCCUCAAGGUUGCAAACCUUCUCAUCAAGUAUGUUCUGAUCCAGUCCAUCAUGGUCAGAAUUGGCUUGUCCCUUGCCAAUAGAAUUGUGGAGUUGAAUGACUUUGACAAGUUGUUCAUGAGCACAUCACACUUGGGGUAGAAGGUGAAGUCAUGCUUACACCAAGACCUGGUAGGUAUUCCCAUCAUCCACUCCCAUGCUGCAUUAUUUUGUACCCUCAGCUCCAACAUUUUCUCUUCCUACUGCUGGCGAUAAGUAGCCUUGGCUGCUGCCAUCAUAAGGUUUCUAAUUACAACCCCACCUCCAAACCUCUUCUUGAAAUUUGCAUAAAGAUGCCUCAGACAGA